UGGUGAGAAAACUUUCUGGCUGUCAUGAUGGUGCUUAAAAGGUGGUAGAACUAUCAUUAUCCUGUAGGCAACUGUCAGAUAUCGCUGAAGGGAUGAUUUACCAUCACCCUUGUCUUUUCACUUUGCGGGCUGCCUAAAGAGACUCAAAAAGGACUUGUCGAAUAUGCUUUUGGCAAAAUAAGUAAUGAUUGUCCAUGAAAUACAGUCAAGAAUCUUGUUUGAGAUUCUAGCCAUUGGGUCCAGAUUGGAUAUCCGGAUUGGGGAGAUACGCGUCGCAUGUUAGUCCACGUGAUCGUUCGGACAGAGGGUUGGACGUGCCACAUGCCCAACGGAGGAGUACCUUAUAAGGCCGUCACGUGUACGCUUAGAGGUGGUCCUUACAACAACAAACCAAAAUUAAAGUAUAUAUUAUCAAAUUAUUUUCUUUAUUUUGGGAAUUUUGGCAUCCUAUGUAUUGAAUUGUAUGGAAUAGUUGGGUUUCAAAGACUAUACAAACUGACACUGCAGCAUGACGCAGGAAUGGGUUGAGAUUUUUGACUCAAAUUUUUGGCACUGCUAAUAAAUGUGGAAGUGGAACUGCUUGGAGGCAUGCAUAGUUAUUUAGUUGGUUUUCCAAAAAUGGAUUUGAGAAUGACACGCAAUAUGUUUGGCCUCUGCUAUCAGAUGAAUAGGCAGUGACCAUUAUUGUACUGUGAGUUCUCUGACCUCUGAAGCAGACUUUAUGAACCGGCUUUGGAGGUUGUUUUAAGUUUCAACUAUGAAAAUUGACACGUCGCUUUUCAUAUAAUUUUCCUUACACGUGGCAUUAAUAUGUCAUGCAAACCAUUUUGUGAAAAAAUAUUCAAAAGGUAAGAUGUAAUUUAUAGGUAUUUAUCUAACCCUAAUCUCAACUCGAGAAAUUCAACCUAAAUCUAACCUAAAUUUAAAAAUAUUUGUUCAAACCUUUUCGGGUUGCGUCCGAACUAGUCACCCCUAAGUUACAACAGUAAUACUCGGCUUGAGUUACUGAAUGGAAAAGUACUGAAUGGGAGAAGAAUCCUUGAAGCUUUUGUGACCCACUUAUAGUGUCCAUAUGGCGAAGACUCGACGCAUAAAGGAGGUGGAUAGCUGAUAAUCUGGAUCAAUGAAGUCAUCGUCCCUAAAACAUCGACAAAAAAAAAAUGAAAUGAAGUCUUUGAAAUAUGGAAAUGGGGAUUCAUUUGAAAGGAAUUUUUCCAAUAAACAGACAAAGAACUAAAGUUUUUUUGAGACAUCGAAAAGGGUUCUUUUCGGGGAGAUUGAUUAUUUAUUAUUUAAUAACCUAUCUUCCUCAUGGAAUCGGACAAAUUAAUAUCUUGGCGACCAAGCCAGAGCAUGGCAGCAAGGGCAGUGCCAUGGAAGUCCCCGCUCUGAUGACCUUUCUAACUCGUCAACUAUCCGCCACAAGAAAAUGGUCAGAACAAGCAACCCAAGGCCCUUACCUCAUUGCUGACGCGCUGCUGAUAGUGAUUAGUUAAGUACCUUUGCUUCCUCCCCUACCCUACACGGACGCCCUUAAACCUAGCCACAAAAGUCAUCUCCAAAUGCUCAUGGCCUCCCAAUUUCAUAUCCCUCGUAACACAACCCAUCUAAUUCUAGUCACCCAACACCUUAUCACGUGGGAACCACUGGGAUCAUUCUGUCUGUUGUUUAUGUGUUGCCGAAGCUUCAUAAGGAAAAUGGAAGAAAACCAUGUAUCUAUCGGAUUCUUAAAUUAUUUUCUUUAUUUUGGUAUCAAAGAAGAAAUGAAUUGAUGAUGUGGCGUUGUGAGGGAAUGACUUAUUUUUUAUACAAAUUCUUGACGCAUUAAUAAUUGUGGAAUUAGUCAGAGUCGUGCGUAGUAGUUUAUAUGGUUUAACAAGGUGAUGUCAAACUCUAAUUAACUAAAGAUUUUUGAGUAAGAGAAGUCAAUUCAAAUAAAAAUGGGAAUAUAUUGAGAGAAGAAAAUUAAGUAAAUGCAACUGGAUGAACUAGCGGUACUAAUUUAAUUAUUCGGAGACAUGAUGGGGAGAAAUGAUGACUGAUUUAUUUGAAUAAAAAAUGUACAAUUAUUAAGAACGGACCGGAUCAUUCCCCUGCAGUCGGACGAAUUAAUUAUAUACCUUGGUCACCAAGAAAACAGAAGGCGGUCCCCACUGUGAUGACUUGACGAAUUUGUCAAUCAUCCAUCCGCCACGAAAUCAAACCCAACACCCGGCCGGGCCGGCCCGUACGUCAUAGGUGAUGCACCGGUGGCAAGUGCGCCUUUGCUUCCUCCCCAAGCCUGCACACACGCCCUUAAACCUAUAAAAAUCGUCUUCAGUUUCUCAUGGCCUCACAUUCUCGUAUCACUCUGACACUCCCCAAUCAGUUCUAGCUAGCCAAACACCUUAUCCCAUGGCGACCCCCGGAAUCAGUCUGGCCGAAGUUUACGUGUUGCGAAAGCUCCACAAGGAGAAGAUGAAAAGAUCAGCGAAAGAAGAGCGAGCUGGGAGAGAUGAUGUGAAUGUUUCUCACCAUGGAAAGCAAUCUUCGGGUGGUUGCUUCUCGCUCGUGUUCAACAAGGUUCAUCCAAAGGAUUUCCAACCGCCGAUUCAAACAGAAAACAAUCCGAAGCAUGUAAUUAUUAAUUACACCUAGGCCACUUGUAAUGCUGCCUGUAAUUGCUUCUAGUGUGGGUUAGACCACCUGUAAUUUGUACAAUUAGCUUCAUUGGCUUGCCUAGCUUUUUCGCUUUUUGUUUCGAACUAUUUGCAUGUACCCACAAUUAUGUAAACCAUCAAAGCAACAGUACAACGCCUCUUUCACCAUCGUUGAUUUUGACCGGCACUUUCCAAGUUUCCAUGGUCAUUAUAAUUUAUACCAAUAAUCUUCUCCUCAUGAUUUAUACUAGAUGUGUUAUGAUCAUUCACUUGCCGGUAAAGAGGAGCGCUUUGCAGAUAAGCACUAUCAUUGCCUAUGCAAAACCAUCGAUUAAGCUUAUAAAUACAGCUAAUCUAAAUGUGCUUUGGCUUCCAAUUAUUACACUUUUUGACCAUAUUUACUCAUUCACCGAUGAUGCCUUUCAAUUUCCUUUCAUUGUCAAUUGACGUUAGUAUAGUGUUGAAUAAUGGUUGUAAUAAAUUGACUUUCGGUACUACUAGAAUUGCUUCGAAGGCAAACCAGAGAAUUGCCAAAUAAACGGCACUUUACUUUUACUAAUUCUGCAUUUAAUUCAUAAAUCAUUUGGAAAGUCACCCAUGAUGCACGUGCUGUGCAGAUGCGAUCACGUGAUAAAAGUACCCUUGGCCUAGCUGUGAAUAUCACACCCUAUAAGACUGGUUUUGAAAAAUAAUGCUCUUCCUACCAGACCAACCCCAUGUGCCAUCUCCACUUAUGUCAUUGAAACCCGACCCUACCCUUCCCUGUUUCUGGUCCAAAUUCAUUUUCUUCCACGGGACUCAUAAUGCAAUCGAGACGCUAUAUAUAUUCUUCAUAUAGUGGGUGCAUCCCACUCGUUUGCUUCUAUGCGGCAACCAAUUUCAUUGGAUCCUUCCAGUAGGGUUGGCACUUGGCAUAUCUAAUCCAGUUAGGUUUGGUAAAUGUAAUCAAAAUUCAGGUGCUGUUUGUUUUUUGUCUUAUCAUAUAUUUGAAAUUUGAAAAGAAAUAGAUCU
Molecule: long non-coding RNA, 3650 nt
Filed under: Vitis vinifera (wine grape)
Lineage: Eukaryota; Viridiplantae; Streptophyta; Magnoliopsida; Vitales; Vitaceae
Description: long non-coding RNA (VVIN_LNC005927)
Source: RNAcentral